Molecule: ribosomal RNA, 609 nt
Filed under: uncultured fungus
Lineage: Eukaryota; Fungi
Description: eukaryotic LSU rRNA
Rfam family: Eukaryotic large subunit ribosomal RNA
Source: RNAcentral
ACCCGCUGAAUUUAAGCAUAUCAAUAAGCGGAGGAAAAGAAACCAACAGGGGUUGCCUUAGUAACGGCGAGUGAAGCGGCAAAAGCUCAAAUUUGAAAUCGGCCACCAGGUCGAGUUGUAAUUUGUAGAUUGUAUCUUGAGAGCGGAUUAAAGUCUGUUGGAACACAGCGCCUUAGAGGGUGACAGCCCCGUAAAAUCUAUUCUCAUUGUAAGAUACUUUCGAAGAGUCGAGUUGUUUGGGAAUGCAGCUCUAAGUGGGAGGUAAAUUCCUUCUAAAGCUAAAUAUUGACGAGAGACCGAUAGCGAACAAGUACUGUGAAGGAAAGAUGAAAAGCACUUUGAAAAGAGAGUGAAAAAGUACGUGAAAUUGUUAAAAGGGAAGGGUAUUGAAUCAGACUUGGUGCUGUUGUUCAACUGUGUUUCGGCAUAGUGUACUCAGCAGUACUAGGCCAAGGUGGGGUGUUUGGGAGUGAAAAAGAAGUAGGAACGUAACUCUUCGGAGUGUUAUAGCCUACUUUCAUAGCUCCUCAGGCGCCUCAGGACUGCGCUUCGGCAAGGACCUUGGCAUAAUGAUUCUAUACCGCCCGUCUUGAAACACGGACCAAGGAG